UCAGUAUAUAUGUUAACAAUUAUGUGUUUUAACAACAGCAUUAGGGCUUUUCAGCUCUUAUUUCUGGCAAUGUAGGUGUUCUAACACCCUAGUCAUAUUGAGUUAGAGUUAUAGUUUUCCUUUUUGGUAAAACAUUACACACGGCUGUCGAUAUUAAUUUACACACGCACACACAC
This is a long non-coding RNA of Octopus sinensis (East Asian common octopus), 176 nucleotides long. RefSeq lists it as uncharacterized. The transcript has 3 exons. The record is from RefSeq and is a predicted model, not a curated record. NCBI's taxonomy places the organism in Eukaryota, Metazoa, Mollusca, Cephalopoda, Octopoda, Octopodidae.